RNAcentral lists this long non-coding RNA (411 nucleotides) under Olea europaea subsp. europaea. The record is from RNAcentral. Lineage: Eukaryota; Viridiplantae; Streptophyta; Magnoliopsida; Lamiales; Oleaceae.
UCAAACACCCCCUAAAUGUGCACAGGUUGGCAGCCGACUCAGUGAAUUGCUGCUUCAAACAGCCUAUAUACAACCUCCAGUCAAUCGGUUAGCAGACAGUUCACCUGAUAUUCGACCUGCAUUUAUACACACUUGUAUAACUGUACGGAAGGAAACAAAGUAAGUUUUUUUUCUUUAAAUCCUUCUGUCUUAUAAGAAAGCUUUCUUUUUGUUGCUUCAAGUCUUCAACAGUGCUUACUGCAUCUCUUUGUGCAUGAACUUUAGCAAAAGAUAUGGUGUUAUCCAAUGCGUUCCACUUGUUACUAAAGGCCUUUAUAGAACAGUAAAUUCAUUUAUUUCUUCCUGUUUUUCUUUGGGAAAAAUCAGAUACAAUCAUUUCAAAAUAGCACAAUUAUUAAGGCGUGACUUGGA